GUUGUGCCCCAUUGCAGCAAAAAACUCCCCAGAUAGGAAAUAAUCCUGAGAGCUUUGGGGCUCAGACCUGGGGAGCUCCAAAGUGGGAACAUACAGCUGCGGGCAGAGCUCCGCUGCCCGUACAGCCGGGCAGCACUGACCACCAGAAGGCAAUGGGAGCAAGGCGCGGGGCUGCCUCCUUCUCACCCGGCACAUUCCACGUGGGUCCGGCGGUUGCCCUGGAAAUGCGGUGGGGGGGUGGGGGAGGGAAAUCAUCUGAGAAAUUAAACAAAAAGGGCCACGAGGCUGAGCAGGAUGCGGUGCUGCGGAGGGAGCGGGUGAUGCUCCGGGGGCUGCGUGCUAUGCCCCCCCCUGAACCCCGGGCUAUAAAUAGUGAAGGAGAGCAGUUGCGGUGACUACCACGAGGCUUUGGCAGCUCCAAAAAGCCACCGGGGUGGGUGGGGGAGGGCGAGGGGGGUGACAGCGUGCGGGGCAGCGACCGCACUCCCAUCCUCAUUUUCCCGGCGUGGAUUGAUCCCCUCGGCGGGCAGCGGCUGCAGGACACGGUGAAGGUUUGGAAGAGAAUCCACUUUGCCCCAUGUUCUGGGGGGAAAAAUCAUUAUUUUAUGAAGCUGAGAUCUCCAAACCAGGAUGAAAUCCACCCAGAAACCCCACGAGAGCCAUCAGCAUCAUGGGUCGUGGGGGAAGCAGCUGCUUUGGGGAUUAUUAAUGAGCAGUGAAUGGUGGGAAAGGCAAGGAUCAAUCGGAACAAAGGAGUUCAAUGGCAAAAAGAAAUGUCUGCAGAGUAAUGGGAGUCCAUUUCUCCUGCUGACUGUCGGAAGCG
This is a long non-coding RNA of Coturnix japonica (Japanese quail), 823 nucleotides long. RefSeq lists it as uncharacterized. NCBI's taxonomy places the organism in Eukaryota, Metazoa, Chordata, Aves, Galliformes, Phasianidae. The record is from RefSeq and is a predicted model, not a curated record.